RNAcentral lists this ribosomal RNA (254 nucleotides) under uncultured bacterium. RNAcentral's name for it is "partial 16S ribosomal RNA". It matches the Rfam family "Bacterial small subunit ribosomal RNA", at positions 524 to 776 of the family's 1533-position model. The record is from RNAcentral.
UACGUAGGGUGCAAGCGUUGUCCGGAAUUAUUGGGCGUAAAGAGCUCGUAGGCGGUUUGUUGCGUCGGCUGUGAAAUCCCCGAGGCUCAACCUCGGGUCUGCAGUCGAUACGAGCAAACUAGAGUGUUGCAGGGGAGACUGGAAUUCCUGGUGUAGCGGUGAAAUGCGCAGAUAUCAGGAGGAACACCGGUGGCGAAGGCGGGUCUCUGGGCAACAACUGACGCUGAGGAGCGAAAGCGUGGGGAGCGAACAGG